RNAcentral lists this ribosomal RNA (368 nucleotides) under uncultured bacterium. RNAcentral describes it as "bacterial SSU rRNA". It matches the Rfam family "Bacterial small subunit ribosomal RNA", at positions 527 to 896 of the family's 1533-position model. The record is from RNAcentral.
GUAGGUGGCAAGCGUUGUCCGGAUUUAUUGGGUUUAAAGGGUGCGUAGGCGGUUUUGUAAAGUCGGUGGUGAAAUACUCCAGCUUAACUGGAGGGGUGCCAAUGAUACUGCAGAACUUGAGUACAGAUGAGGUAGGCGGAAUUGACGGUGUAGCGGUGAAAUGCAUAGAUAUCGUCAAGAACACCGAUAGCGAAGGCAGCUUACUGGGCUGUAACUGACGCUGAGGCACGAAAGUGUGGGGAUCAAACAGGAUUAGAUACCCUGGUAGUCCACACUGUAAACGUUGAUAACUCGCUGUUUGCGAUACACAGCAAGCGGCUUAGCGAAAGCGAUAAGUUAUCCACCUGGGGAGUACGCCGGCAACGGUG